GCAAAAUCUAACAAAUAGUACCAAACAAGCCCUAACUAUACUAUGCUUAAUUUUUGUUACAUAGAAAAUACAGUCGCGCAAGAAGCUUAAAUCUAUUCUCUGCCAGGGCCAUCUCACUUCUUCAAUAUAUGCUGUCUUUAUCCAUAGAUCCGAACUCCAAGAAAAGUACUUCUAAUCAAAUGCAAUUCUUUAGCAACAUCCCUCAUGCUCAUUCUGUCUUUGGGUGAUUUUGCCGAACAGGCUACUCCAACUUUGAAU
RNAcentral lists this unclassified non-coding RNA (258 nucleotides) under Hevea brasiliensis (rubber tree). The record is from RNAcentral. Lineage: Eukaryota; Viridiplantae; Streptophyta; Magnoliopsida; Malpighiales; Euphorbiaceae.